Long non-coding RNA from Homo sapiens (human), 3997 nucleotides. Ensembl annotates it as long intergenic non-protein coding RNA 632. NCBI's taxonomy places the organism in Eukaryota, Metazoa, Chordata, Mammalia, Primates, Hominidae. The record is from Ensembl.
AGUGCGACAGACAGCCUCAGAGCUGGUGGGGAGACAGCAUGCCACUGGAAAAAUUCGUAGACAUGGAAUUCCUGGAUCAAAUGGAGGAGAUGGAAGAUUGAGAGCAGAGUGCAAGAAUGGGAAGAGGGCUUCGUGCCCUGUGCACGUUUGCCACCUAGUGACCAAACUGAAUGGUGUGCUUCUCACCUCAGCGUGAUAGCCUGACCUUGACUCCUGAGUUCCACGAUCGCUUCACAACUGCAAGUCACCAUCAUACAAAAUUUGAGUUUCCCUAAGUCCGCGCCUUUGAGAGCUUUGGAACGAUAUGCAAGUUCAAGUCACCAUCCUGUUUCUUGCUACCUCCUGUGAGAAGACCAACAUUUGGGUUACACUUGUUUCUACUCUUGUUCUUCUGCUUGUUAUUGUUGCCUCUGCAGCCAUUGAUCACACACGUGUUGUCAUACAAAAACUGGUUAGCCUUUUUAUUUGUCUUGUGAAUUUUAUCAUUUGGUUCUUAAGUAUUACAAAUUAAUAUUGUGUACUCUCAUUGAUAUACAACUUGCAGUCAUUGUAAAUAUGCGUGAGUUAGGGGUGAGAAUGGCAUGCAAGCAAAAGAACAAGGAGAGGGAUGAUAGAGAUGCAAGAAGAGUAAAGAGGGCAAGAAAGUUUAUGUUAAUAGCGAACACAAUGAAAGUUCUUUAAAUGCUUGAUAAUGGUGAAAGCAACACUUCCUAGGGCAUAUUUUUGGUGUUAAUGAACCUACACAUCAUACAAUAAAGAAAAUUGAGAAAGCAGUUGGGGCCAGUGAAUCGGGGGCACACAAGAAUCACUGAGAAAAUCAUACACAACUCAAAAUGCCACAAUAGGGAAAAUAUAAAGAGAUUUGCACUUGUGGCUUCUAAAACAGAGAAGGUUGAAUAGGUCUCUUUCUGUGUGUAAAAUCUGCCAGUGAGCAUCACAAAAAUGCAAAUUUAAAUUUCAAUCUGGAUGGAAAGUUAUAAAAUUCAUUGCAAGUAAUGGGUGGUUGGGUAGGUUUAAGAAAUGCCAGGUGGGUGGAUCACUUGAGGUCUGGAGUUUGCAACUAGCCUGGCCAACAUGGUGAAACCUUGUCUCUACUAAAAAUACAAAAAUUAGCCAGGAUUGGUGGCGGGUACCUGUAAUCUCAGCUACUCAGGAGGCUGAGGCAGGAGAAUCGCUUGAACCUAGGAGGCAGAGGUUGCAGUGAGCUGAGAUCGUGCCAUCGCACUCCAGCCUGGGUGACGAGAGCAAAGCUCUGUCUCAAAAAAAGAAAAGAAGAGAAGAGAAAAGAGAAGAGAAGAAAGAAGAGAAGAGAAGAGAAGAGAAGCUGUGGCCUGUAAUGAAAAGAAGUGGAGAAGUGACUGUCAGAGGAAGCAGAUUAAGGAGCUGCCGGAGAGUAUCCUGAAUACCUGAAGAAGACGAUUGAGGACAAUGGCAAUUUGCCUGAGCAGGUUGUCAGUGCUGCUGAAACUCUGGAAGCAAAUGCCUACUUGCACAUCUAUUGCAAAGCAUGAGAAAAGGACCAGAGGCUUCAAGCCUGGAAAAGACAAACUCAAAGUUCUGCUUUGUUCCAGUGUGUUCUGAUUAAACCCAUGUUGCUUUACAGAUUCCAAAAUUGUUACCUUCUUUAAAGAGAAAGCCAGAAACACUUUUCUGUGUACAUGAAGGGAAACCAUGAAAUAUGGAUCACUGAGAAACUCUUUUUGAACUGGUCUUUGAAGUGUUUUGUUCUGAGGUUAAAUAACAUUUAAAUGAAAAAAAAAUCUUGACUUCACAGUGUUGUGAUUCUGGACACUGCUCCUACAGACAAAAAUGCAGUCAUAAAUGCUGCUCCUUGUGUUCAAGUCAUCUCCAUUACCCCCAGUACGACUCCACUCCUUCAACUCUUGCAUCUGAGAGUGCUAGCGAUGUACUGUGCUCUGCAUGUAUUUUGACUACCUGAAGAUCUUAUCAGAGACACCAGAACUUUACCAUGAAAGUGGCUUGGCAACAUUUCUCCGUUUGUAAUGCUUUAACAGGUGUAGAAGAAUCAGUGAGACAAAUAAAACAAUCAAUACUUAAUGAAGUCUGGCAGAAAUUUUGGAAUGAGGUUGUGACUGAUUUGGAAGGUUUCCUUCCAGUGGUAGAAGAAAUUGAAAAUAUUGUAACAUCUGCAAACCAUUUGAAUAGUGAAGGCCUUGAAGACAUUGAGUUAAGUGACAUUACUGAAUUGUUAGACUCUCACCUUCAAAAGAUAGUUGAGAAAUAUUUUGGAGAUGUGAUCACAUCAAAAGGCAAUAGAAGAAGCCAGCAUAGGUUAACAUCCAGAACUCUAAGAAUGUUCAAGUAUCUACUCCACAAAUGAAAUUGUCACAAUGAUUCAAAAGAAAGAGAUCCUUUGGUGGGCUACAUAUUGACUUUCAGGUAAGGCUUAGAUGAUUACUUACAAUCCUAUAAAGCAGUAGUAAUAAACUUCCAAACAAACACCGAUAAGUAUUUUCUCUCUGCUUACUUGACAGGGGAGAAGAGGUUGACAUUAGGCCAUGUCAUUCAAACCCGUUCUGCAAACAGGAAAACAGGAAGUAGAAACGCCGCACACAGAUAGUUAAACCUUGGGAUUCAGACUCUGAUGGCUCUGAUGAUAUGGUGAUUUGUGUGCUGGGGAUGAAAGAGGAGCAGAAGACUGAGCUUACAUCUCUUCAGACGAAAUGCAAUUUUCUCUAUUCUUUCCCUGUUACUAUUGUUACGACCAAGCAUUUUCAUUGAUCCAUUAUCAUCUUCAUCUUGAGAUCACAAAGGAAGUUAAUUGCCUGAUAUCCACUCUUGUUAAUAUAAAAUAUCAAUGAUAUUUAUUUUAUUGUUUUAGUUUGGUGAACAAACUGAUUGUCUAGGCUUUCAUAAUACUCAUGUCCUUGCCUCAUUUUUUCCUAAAAAGUCUUAAAUUCCUCCAACAUGGGUACUCUGAGAGUUUCGGGAACUCAACUAUAGCAUUUAAGGAGUGGGCUGCUACUGUACUUGGCUGGAUAAUUUGAUUUUGUACUCCUGAAAUUUGUUUUAAUUCUGAUUAAGCCUAACUUGCGAUCUCACCAGAAAGGAUUAGUUUGGUAUAAGUUAAAUUAAUUUCUUUUCCAGCAAUUGUAUAUGUUAGCUAUUGGCUGAUCCUGAAAAGCAGUAUAUUUAUGUUAAAUUUCCAGAUUUCCUUUGGUAGCUAAUCAAGGAGGAACAGCUGCUAGAGUUCAUUUUCAUAGAUUCUUUCUGUUCUCAUAUCUGGCCUCCUCAGUGAUUUGAAGAAUUGAAUAUCCUCCAAAAAAUGGAUAUUAUUACCUCCUGUUCUCUGAUGGUGAUGGAGACUUCAUUCUCAGAUUGUUUUUAAAUUCCUUUCAUAAUUCCAUAUAUUUACUUCAUUUGAUUCAAUUGUGUUACAAAAGUUAUUGUCAUGGUUGUUUUAAUUUUGGAUGUUUGGAAUUUUCCAGGCAGAUUUAACAGAGGAAAAAAAACCACAAAGCCAGAGAUACGACGCUGUUAUCUUGUUCUAAGAAUUUUGGGCAAAGGCAUAGGCUGAACCUGCCUGUUCUUUUGGCUGCUUUACACAUUCCCAACUGAUGUCCAUUUUGAACUCAGUUGGACAGUUAUUCUGGGGAAUAGAGAGGAAGUCCAAAUAACAUCGCUGUUGUUUCUGUCUUAAUUGCUGUUUGUGCCGGAUUCACAGCACUGGCCUCAUCAUUAUAUCUGAUAAUGAUGCACAGAAAACCUGAAUAGAGAAAAGAAGAAAGAUAAUUCAUUGGCAUGUGCUUGCCAAAAAGAGACUUUAUAUAACUUGAGAAAGCAUAAAGACAACCUGGAAUGAGGAAAUGUAUGUACAGUAAUGAAAAAAAAAUGCUUUAAACAGCUGUGUCAAAAACUGACAUCAGAGAGUAAAUUGAAUUUGGUUUUGUAGGAAGCAGGAAGCAAGCCCACUCAAACGUUGAAAUUUGGCAUGAGGGAGUCCAGUAACUUUCUCCUCAAUCUGUGAACUAUAUGU